GCUACACUAGCUCAGUUGGUAGAGCGCAACCUUGCCAAGGUUGAGGUCACGAGUUCGAACCUCGUGUGUCGCUCCA
This 76-nucleotide transfer RNA is filed under the name Vibrio cholerae. RNAcentral describes it as "tRNA-Gly". It matches the Rfam family "tRNA". Rfam says of the family: Transfer RNA (tRNA) molecules are approximately 80 nucleotides in length. Their secondary structure includes four short double-helical elements and three loops (D, anti-codon, and T loops). Further hydrogen bonds mediate the characteristic L-shaped molecular structure. tRNAs have two regions of fundamental functional importance: the anti-codon, which is responsible for specific mRNA codon recognition, and the 3' end, to which the tRNAs corresponding amino acid is attached (by aminoacyl-tRNA synthetases). tRNAs cope with the degeneracy of the genetic code in two manners: having more than one tRNA (with a specific anti-codon) for a particular amino acid; and 'wobble' base-pairing, i.e. permitting non-standard base-pairing at the 3rd anti-codon position. Lineage: Bacteria; Pseudomonadati; Pseudomonadota; Gammaproteobacteria; Vibrionales; Vibrionaceae. RNAcentral also lists the same sequence under 3 other names. The record is from RNAcentral.